Long non-coding RNA from Physella acuta, 3872 nucleotides. RefSeq lists it as uncharacterized. The record is from RefSeq and is a predicted model, not a curated record. Lineage: Eukaryota; Metazoa; Mollusca; Gastropoda; Physidae.
AUUUUCACCCCUGCUAAAUUUUCAGCAAUUUCCCGUUUGUCGUGUUUACUGUUUAAUCCCGUAUUUUAAUUUAUUACCGACAAUACUGCCUUUAAAAUGGCCAAUUGUGGGUGGCUUUGGAGUAUCAUCUGGUUCAUAAUCCUCAUAGUGUUUGGCUGGCCAAUUGGAUUUCUGUGCGCCAUUAUCUUUGUCAUCUUUAGUCCCUGUGCAGCCUGUUGCUCUGGCUGCAAUGAACUUAUUAACUUACUUGAAAGAGGUGUUAAACUGCCUCUAACUUGUGCCCAGAAUAUGGUGUCUGGCAAGUCCAUGUGUUAAUUAGAUUCCAUUCAUCUUAGCAUGUAUUAGAAAAGCUAAUCUCUAAUUUUUUAAUUACCAUUCACUGUAUUUUAUUUCAUCAAAGUCCUAAUGAAAACUAAUUUUUUCCCCUAAAAGCUUUAGGUGCAUAUGCAAUUUUUUAACAACACAAUUUUAUCAACUCCAAAAGAAUUCCACAAUUUUUCUCUGUAUAUUCAAUAUCUGGAGAAAACAUUUUUUUUUUUUUUUUUUUUUUUACUAUUUUUUUACACUGUAACUAAAUGAGUACUAAGUUUGUUUUAGCUUGAUAAUAGCUUAAUUGCACAAAUAAAAUUAUUUUCUGGGGUUCAUAAUACACUGACUUGAAAAUAAUUACAAGCUUUUUAAAAAAUGAAGAUUAUUUCAACUAUCAAGCCCAAAUUAUUGUAUCUCAGAAGUAAUCUUACUUCCCUUUAUUAAUAAAGAAUUCUCAACAAAAUGAAAAACAACAGUGUCUCAAUUUUAGAAAACUGUUAGGCUUAUAUAGCAUAAUAUUAAUAAUAACUAGGAACAUUAUAGGUCUAUAUGUUUUGUAUUACUUUUAAAUUUAUGGUUGAGAUAGGUAUUUUAGUUAUUCAAAUUACAAAUUUCUAGACCUGAUACAUAUAGCUGUAUUGUAAAUUAUGAUCUUCAAUACUUUAUUGUAUUUUUUACAUUUUUUGUUAUUUAUCAUUUAUUAUACACUUACAAUAUGUUGUAAUAAUGGCUCAUUUAUGUAGUGAUAUAUAAAUAAAAGCCAAUGUGUAAAACUCAGUAAUCAUUGAUUAGUAAAUCAUGUCAAAAUACAAAUUUGAUAUUUAAAUUAAAUUGAUUUUAUUUUAAUGAGUGUAUGUUAAUCAACUUUUGUUUUACAUCAUUUUUAUGUAAGCUUUUAUAUUAAGAGAUUUAAAAACAAAGUAUUUAAAAUUUAAGAAUCAGAUAGGCCCUAUUUCAAUAUUUUACAGAAUCAAAUGGGGUAUGUCAAACAUGGCAGGAUCUAUUAUUGGAGAUUAAUUUAUAAACUUCCAGGGUGCUUUAUUUCAUAUUUAUUUAUAGGCUGAUGUUUACUUAACCCUUUGUCUAUGCUUUAAUUUGUCUGUGUUUUUUAUGCUACUUUAUAAAUGUAGUUAGUAUACCCUCAAAAAACUUUUGUUUGUGUAUUCUAUUUUGCCAACUACCUAACUUAAAAAAAUAUUGGAUAGUAAUAGUUCUGUAUGCAAUAAUGCAAGAAAGUAAAACAAGCCAAAGUUUUGUAAAGUCAAAUACACCGAUUAUAAAAUUUCAUUUAAAGGCAUCAUGAUUGCUUAUUUAAUUAAUGGCUAUAGAAGCAACCUAAUUUCAUUCAACCCCUUUGUAAUAUUCCUUUUGGUGUGUCAGUCAAAGUUUGACUUGGUAUUUAGAAUCUAACUUUCCCCAAAACUGUUAUAAAAUAUUGUGAUCAGGAUUAAAAAUCUAGUAAAAAUGUUUUUGUCUGAUUUAAUAGUGGAGAAGAAACUUGGGUUAAUGUAAUUUAUUGUACAAUAACUUUUUUUAAGAUGAGAGUCCAUUUUAACUAGAUAAAUGAAUAUAUUCUUAUAAAUAGACAUUCACACAGUUGUAGCUUACUAUUUAUUAAUAGCAAAAAAGUAUGAUAAAUUGUAAGUUCCCUUGUGUGUAUUUAGCCGUUUUGUUUUAUUUUACCACCAUUUUAAGCAUUUACCACGAUUGUCUAACACUAUUUUUAAAAUAUUAAAAUGUUAGAUGUCCAAAAAGGGAUUUCUGAGAACCUGGUUAACAUUUUAGUUAGGACUGAUUGUUUCAUUGCAAACAUGUUCCCUUUUUUGCUCAACCUGAAUGUAAGGACCAGUAAAAACUAGAAUUUUAUGCUAUUUCACUUUUGGUUUUUUUACUCAUAAAAGUGCCACAUCUAGUCUCAUUUUUACUAUAUUUUUUACUGCUGCAUUUCAUUUUUGUUUGACUGGAUCUGUAAAUUGUAUUAUUGGUGUUGAUGGAAUACGCCCAAAGCUUUAGUCAUGUCUCUCUUUCGUAAGACUGAUUCUCUAUACAUUUUGCAAUAAAUAUUAUAUUAUUUCUUGCCAAUCUACAAAAAAAAUAUACCUGUAUCUUUUUCAGUUUUGAUUAAAUUAUAUCUUGUACAAAAAUCUGAUCUACUCAGUGCUUUAAACAUAUCCUUCUGUAAUACUGCCUUACUCAGCCAUGUUCAUGAUAAUGCAGCCAGCAGGCCUACUUAUUUUUUUUAUUUUUUUUUGUGUGCUUAUUUUUACACAAUUCAAAUACAUUCUCUCAGUAUUGAAGUAGUGAUGAAACUUGAGUCCAUUAAACAUUGAUCUUAUUUAUGGCAGUAGCUUCAUGGACAGAACAAAUGACACCAGUUUGGUUUUAAAAGUCCCUAUAUUUUCUUAUUCAUUUUUAAAUACUAUUUCCUCUCAUAUUUCCUAAUGAAGUAGAAACUUGUAUUUUCAUCCUCUCAGCUGAAUGGUAUCUAAAGAACUGAUAAUUAAAAUUAGGGACAAAGAUUGUUUUGCUAAAUGAACCUAUAGUUCUACUAAUAAGUUUUUAAGAAUCUAAUUUAGAUAAGCUUUAAUACAAGUGUCUUUUUCAUCUAUGAGGUUUCACCCAAUUAAAAUAACUUGUUUGGUCUUACAGUUUAAAAUGCAUUUUAAAAACUUAAAUUUAUGUUAAAGAAAAAAUUCAUGGACUUUCAAAAUAUUUAAUGGCCUAUGUGAGAAAAAUUGAAAAAGUGCUGCUGAAUUAGAUUUAGAAAAGCAAUUGUUAUUGCAAUUUUUUGUUUACCAGUUAUACAAUAUUUGUUUUGAUAUUUGCCUUGGCUUCAGGUUGAUGAUUUAAAAAGCUUUUAUGUAUCAAAUUAGAAUGUGAUAUUCUUUUAUUCACAUUUGCCUUUCUUAUUUUAAAAUUAUUCCAAAUAUUUAAUCUAUUCUUCAGCAAUAAAGUUUCUAGGCAUUUUUAUUUCCUAACAUUGUAUUGUUUGCUCCAGGUUCUCAAUUACAUUUCUAUACACUACUCCCUCUUAGCAUAAUUAAUAUGGAAAAAUCAACUGGGUCUAGAGCAAUGUUAAAAAAAUGUAUAACAACUGCUGAUCUGCUAGUUUUUAUAUUGUAAUGAUAAAAAAUAGAUUAUUAAAUGAUUUCCAAACUUGUAUUUGUUUUUAAGUUUAAGUAAGGUUUGAUAUGUAUUUAAAUUAUAAUAUAUAUAUAGCCCAUUCUUUAGUUGGUUAAUCAUGGUAGGACCAAUACAACUAUUGUGUAAUUUUGAUAUUUCCCAAAUGUGUUCUAUUUUUAAUUUCUUGAUUCUCAAAUAGUUCAUUGUAACUGGUUAACAAUUCUAAAAUUGUUUUUAUGUUCAUUGUAAUUUUUUCUUCCUGCAUUUUGAAAUUAUGAAAUGAUUGUACCCUGAAGUUACCUGGUAUACAUUUUUGAGCUUCCAUUUUAAAACCAAAAUGCUAUUUCUAAAACAUUUUUAUAUACUAAUCUCAGCAUGUGAACUUUAGUCUCCAUAAAACUGUAUUUAAUACUUUCAAUAUAUUUUCUUUAAAAGAUGAA